UAUAAAGCUGCGAUGAGUGGUGAUUGGGAGAUGGCUAUGCACAACCAGCCAAUAACAGCAAGGAUCAAUAAGCGUGGGGAGACUGCUCUCCAUAUUGCAACUGCAGCAAACCACACUCAUUUUGUGGAAAAGCUUGUUGAAAUGAUUGCUCCAAACAAUAUGGAGCAUUUAGCUAUUAAAACUGUGCGCCCACCCCCUGUCACAGCAAUAACUCCAACUGCAAUUGCACCUCAAGCUUCAGCUCUAGGUGAUGUCAUAGGUGCAGGCGCAACUGCAUUCAGUAUACAAGAGGACCCAUCCAUAAGCAGGACUCAAGCAGCAGUCACAGUAAAUUUAGGGCGACGAGCAGAGCACAGAAUCCAAGCUGCAGCUGUAGCUCCACAACCUCAGGAACCAGCCUCACAACCACAGGAGCAAAGAAAUACAACUCCAGCCGCAAUUGCACCUCAAGCCGUAGGUGCAGCCCCAACUGCAGGGCAAAUAGUGGAGGACCCAACCAUGGGCAGAGCUCAAGCUGCAGCUGCAUUAGCAUUUGCAGCCGCAAACGCAAUUGCAGCUCAACAAGAAAAUGCCCAAGUCACAACUGUAGUUACUAUCCUUGCUCCGGCUGCAGCCCCACAACCAAAGGACACAGCCCCAAAACCAGUGGACACAGCCUCACAAUCAGUGGAGCAAGGAAAUACAGCUUUUUGUUAUGCUGCUAUUUCUGGAAAUGUGAAAAUUGCUAAAAUUAUGAAGGAUAAGAAGAAUGAUUUGCCAAGGAUCCGAGGUAGACAAAAUUGCUUACCAAUUUAUUUGGCGGCUUUGGCUGGCCAUGAACAAAUGGUGCGGGAACUGUACGAG
RNAcentral lists this unclassified non-coding RNA (843 nucleotides) under Hevea brasiliensis (rubber tree). The record is from RNAcentral. Lineage: Eukaryota; Viridiplantae; Streptophyta; Magnoliopsida; Malpighiales; Euphorbiaceae.